This 3426-nucleotide long non-coding RNA is filed under the name Homo sapiens (human). RNAcentral's name for it is "HSALNT0139654". The record is from RNAcentral. Lineage: Eukaryota; Metazoa; Chordata; Mammalia; Primates; Hominidae.
GCAAUUUUUCUUAAUUAUGUAAUACAUUUUUCAUGUUUAAUUUUCUGUACUCCUAUCACUAAUUCAAAUCAAAACACUAUUUUAUUAAACUGUCUGAAGAAAUAUGCACUGAACUAUUGCAUAGGUAAUUCAUAGCUCUUCCAAGGACCCACAGGUUUUGAAAAACAGAACUGUGUUUUAUGCUGAAAUCAUAAAUUCUCUUUCCAGGCAUAAUAAUUUUCAUACUGAAAUGGUGAAUUGUCUUUCCAGGUAUACCAAUUUACUAUGCCUAAUCCCAAAGACUCAUAGUAAGUCGCUUUAAUUAUGGUUGUUGUAUAUCAUUUCUAGGUAAGAAAACGUUAUGUAAAAGUUGCCAAAGGCUUGAGAAAAAAUGGCCACAGAUCAACUUAAACAACUAUUAUUCUGAUUCAUUUUUCAAAUACCUAAAUAAUACUAUUACAUUUUCAGAGAAAAGUCUAAACUCCUUAGCACAAGUUUCAAUGUUCUAUGCAAUAUCAGUUAAGCAAGACUUCUCCACCUUUGUUUUGUAAUCCCCUCUAUUUCUUCACUCAAUUUGCCCCUCACUACAGCUGAUUUUGCCAAUUUUCUGCUGGCAUGCAACCUUGCAGAGAUGUGGCGAUUUUCUGCAGCUUCAUUCCAUGUAGUCAAAAGGCCACUGAAAGAAGUAGCUUCCUAAUAUUCAGAUCACAGCCAAUUCAGUUUGGCAAGAGACGGUUUAUUUAUUUUUAAAUAUUUCUUAGUAUUCAAUGAAAUGUUUUAUAUUUAGUAGUUAAAAAUACAUACAGAAUUUAAAACAUUUUCUAAAACUGAUAUCCCCUUCUUUUAUUUGUAGACCUAAAACUAAAUGAAUAAAAAACAUUCAGGUCAAAAAUAUGACUCUCAUUUUUAAAAAUACUACUUCAUGUUGUUUAUGGUGCUAUAGACUUACACUCUUUUAUAACUGAAAGAAAUAUUAAUGACAAUUAUAAAAUCAGCCAUUGAAAGGAUUUUAAGAAAAACAACUAUUGCAACUGCCAUAAUUUGGUGGUAUUGGAAGGCAGCAGAGGUAUAAUACAGCUGAUGAUUGGCGGGGAUAACUGGCAGCUCCAAGCCAGGCAUUCCAUCAUGUCAGAGCCCAGCAGGAAACAUGCAACAAAAUCAACAAUCACUUUUAUAUGUACAGUUCUUUAUCAUUCAAAUGCCUCUCUCAAAGUACUUUACAAGACUGUACAAUGACUGCAAGAAAUAGCGACAUGAAGCAAGCAACUGAAAGCUAAAUAGAGGGAAAAAGUGAUCCUUAUGUAUUUGAUUGGCGAGAACAGAACAUCUUUGGGCAUUUUGAUUUGGAUGAAAAGAUGUUAAAUAGUCAAGACAUGAGGCCCCAUUGGGGGAUGUUUGUUCAAUGGUCAUUUCGGUAGAACUAUGCAAAUAACACCAAGAGAGUCCUAGGUUUAGCAGAUAUAAUUCACAGAAGAAAUUUCAACACAUUAUUUUUUAAGUUUGCAGACAAGGUAGAAAGUGAAUCACCUAGAAAUUUUUAUGACCACUUUAAAUUUAUUCUGGAACAAGAAACUGGAGUGUAUGAGGAUAGGAGCAACCAAAUAGGCAAACAAACAAAAUGCUCUUUAUGCCUUUAUUUGCACUGUAUUGAUAAAAACAAGGUGCUUAAAAAGCAUCUAUUAAAAUAAGUUAUCUCCCUAUAUAGUAUGUAGUAAUUGUACAUUUUAUUGGUGAUAAUAAAAUGCUCUGCUUUCACUGUUUUGUAACUUGCUUUAGUGUAAGAUUUCUCAAUAUAAACAUUAUUGUCAUUUUAAGGCAAAUGAUUUCUGGGGUGAGUGGUGAGGGGCUCCCUGGUGCACUGUAAGUUGUUUAGCAUCUUCUCUGGUCUCUUUCCACUAGUUGCAGUCGUAACUUCUAAGUCGUGAUAGCUAAGCAUGUCCCCAGAUAUUGCCAAAUGUCGUUUUCAUUCGUUUGUGUGUUUUUCUUUUGGGGGAUCGAAAGAGCCAAAUAAUCCUCUGUUUUGAGGACCAGUGCUACAGUAUGACAGAACAUUAGUUUUGCUGAACUACUUCUGCCUCCACCUGUGAGUUGCUGCUGACUUUACUAAGUCUUUAAUGUCGUCAAUUCUACCAUAACAUUUAAUUUAUCACACUCUAUUGUAAUAGCCAACUUCUUCAUGUGCUGACUCAUCUGGACCUAAGGACUGUGAAAGCAGAAUUCUUGACUCCAUUGUUGAUCAUGGUUUCCCUGAAAGAAGCACAGAGCUUGGCAUAUAGCACUAAUAAAUAUAUGUCUAUUGAAUAAAUUACCUUCUUCAUAUUAUAAGUUCAUGUACAAAAACACAGAAAACAGCAUGGACAAAAGAGUCUGUAAAUUCAGAAUAUGUUUGCUUUAUAGACGAAUAGCUUAAGGCUCUGAAAGCGACACAGAGACUGAAAGGUAAUGCAUGGUUAUGUAAAGGCUGAGUCUAAUGACUAAAUUUAUCAUUUUUGGUUCCUAAGCAUAAACAUAUUAUCCUCCUGAGGCAAGAAAGUAUUAACCCGGGCCUCCAAAAUUAAAUAAUUUCAAUAAAGAUAGAUUGGUCAUACUCAUGCUAUUAGAGAAUGUAGUACACUGUUAUGGAUGUAUUAACCUGUUUUAUAGAAACUUGCAUCGUCACUAUGGGGCCAUCUAGAUCAUUUUAUCGAGAUUAUAAAACAGAGUCCAGAGGGAAGUAUUCUAAGUUUAAUAUAAACUUGCAACUAAAAAUUUAUAGAACUAUAUGUCUUCUGUGAGGUCUUAAUUGCUUUGGGUCGUUUGGGGAAUGAGAAAAAAAUGAAUGAGUACGCAUUUUCUCUUAUACAAAUGUAAAAAUACAGGACACAAUAAAAUGCCUUGUUAUGAAAUUGUACUUCCUGUACAAAAGUUUGCACCUAUGAGCUCCUUAAUUUUCUAUAGACCUAUUUUCCUUUUCUUGGUUGAAUAAAAUCAUAAUGAUAAAGAAAGGAAUUUUUCGGUCUUUUGAUGAUAACUAAAAAAAAGAUUUCUCUUGCACUAUGUAUACUCUCAUAGAUUACCUUUCUCAUUCUAGCUAAUCUUUAGGCAAGUGUUUUUAUCCAAUUUAUUUUUCUCUUCCUUUUCCAGUUUUUCUGGGGGAAUGUGUGGCUAACCAUAGCAUUAAAACAAUAUAUGUUGUCCUAUAAUAUUUGUGGGCUAUAUCUUAAUAUUUUCAUUUCUCUUACAUUUAGAGUUUCCAGAAACAAUUGAAAAACUGUCUUAGGAUGGCUAAAAUAAUUGAACACAUUUUUAAAAAAAAUUUGUUAUUCAAUAAUUCACUGAUUUUUGUCUUUUAAUCUCAUUCAGUUAUAGUUAUGUCCAACAAUCCUUUUCAUAUCUUAUACCAUUUCAUAGGUAAGAAUACUUCCCACUUAUUCAAGAAAAAUCACUGUGUGUGUAUGUGUGUGUGUG